GGCGACUCCUACAUCCGAAUCAUGAUGCCACAGGACUCUAAUGGGGGUUAGAAAGGGCCGGGCCUUAAUGCGGGAACCGGACACAUGUGCAAGUUCACUUUCCUUUCGCCCCGGCGGGCGCGUCUGGUCACUCUCUGCUUUGGACAGAUUUACAGCCACUUGAGAUCUGUCGGACAAACCAGACCGGCUAAUCUAAUACGGGGCGUGUUUGAAACGAUGACUGUCCGUCUAAAAAAGACAAAAAGAAGAUUGCUUCGGCUGAUGUGGAACUUUCUGUUUAUGGCUGCAAUCUCGAAUCCAUCGGCCUGAAAAAAAAGGUCUAGGAGCCCCGUUUCCCAGACACAGCGAUGCUUCAGCAUGCGGGCUCAUCCCUGCACGCUCGCUCACUCGGCGCUAUAAUUGGUCGGAGGUCUAUCUAAUUGCAUCCGGAGGUACUUCCUGAGGCCGCGGGGCACUGCAGAUGUUGUCCAAAAAGGACCAUUUAAGGACCAUUUUCAACUGUGAAUUCCUUUGUUCAACGCUUUAUGGGAAACGUUUUACAGCGGCAGGGCAGUUUUAAAUAUGUUCGUCAUGGUGAGGAAGGAACAACCCGGUGCAGCGGUUUCUAGCCAAUGUAGCAUUUAGCUACACGACUGCUCUCUGCCGACAUUCACCUCAGAAUGAACCUAAAUAUGUAAAUAAAUAAUCCUGUGACAUUGUCAUCAGUCCCAGCUGUGCUUUGUGUGUUCAUC
Molecule: long non-coding RNA, 731 nt
Organism: Gasterosteus aculeatus aculeatus (three-spined stickleback)
Lineage: Eukaryota; Metazoa; Chordata; Actinopteri; Perciformes; Gasterosteidae
Source: Ensembl